RNAcentral lists this unclassified non-coding RNA (366 nucleotides) under Hevea brasiliensis (rubber tree). The record is from RNAcentral. Lineage: Eukaryota; Viridiplantae; Streptophyta; Magnoliopsida; Malpighiales; Euphorbiaceae.
AUCUUGUCGAUCCGACUCUCGCAUCGUUUCAAGAGGAGCAGUUGGAGCAAAUUGGUCAGUUGCUAAGAUCUUGCUUACAUUCCAAUCCAGAGCAGAGACCAACAAUGAAGCUCAUUACCUCUAGGUUGAGAUUAAUAACUGGGAUAACCCCGGAUGAAGCGAUCCCGAGGCUUUCUCCUCUUUGGUGGGCUGAGCUUGAGAUUGCGUCGGAAGGACGAUGAGGUGUGGAAUCUUAAUCAUUGCAAGUAUGAGCAUAGCUUCUGUAUCUUGUCUAGUUUUCUGCUGGAUGAUACUGUAGAUAUCAUCACCUUAGAAGUUUUGCUUGUAUAUAUGUGAGAUAGUUAAUAUAAUACAUAACAAGCUUUA